GAAUAUCUCCAGGGAUGGUGACUCCACCACCUCUCUGGCAGCCUGUUCCAGUAAACAUUACUGAGUACAUCAUUUUGUAGUUUCUUAUGGUUUUGCUGGCCACGCCUAAGCUGUUGUCCUCUUUGAGUUAUGCACUUUUGUGCUUAUGUGACUCUAUCAGAGGAGAAACACUUGGUUGGUAGUAUGUGAAAAUAUAGUUACAAAUACUCAACCAUUGGAAAAGUUGAACAGAGCUCAUGGGUGAUAUUGUUGUAUAAAAAGAAUCCCACGAGGCUUUCCUUGGCUGUUUGCCUGUUCAUAGAAAUUAUUACAUAUAUAUGAUAUAGACAUCCAUAAGUACCGAUGAAUAAGAGGGCAAUUAAAAUUAUAAAAUAAUUUACAUUAAGUUACAUAAAUGAAUAUUGUUGCAAAAAAGAAGUGAAAAGACUCUUCAUUCUUUUUUCCUGUAAUUCACUUCAGGUUCUAUAAAGAUCCUGAAGGAGAAAAUGCCUUCUUUUGUUUUGCUAAUACCAGUAUGGCCUUUUUGUGAGGGUUUUACAAAGCUGAAGGAAUGACUUCAGUGUAUUGUAAUCCCCUUUUUGUUUCAGAGUGUAUAUCCCAGAUUUUCUGUUCUUUAAGUUUCCAGUAAGACUCUUGGUUUGUUUUCAAAGGAAAUGUCCAUAAACCAUUUGAAAACAACAUAAUUAAGGGCAGUGCUGCCUGUAACAUCUCUUACAUGCAAGCCCAGCUGUUCUGUUAGUUUUGCUUGUUAUCAUCCAUCACCAUAUGAUAAUAGAAUAAUUCUGGAGGUUGCUUAAUUAAUUGAAGUUCUUUUUUUUUGUUGCUUUUCUAAGGUCCCUGUUUGUAAUUGCAAUGAAGCAAUAAUAGAAUACAUCUUUUAUGGUCUUAAUGUUGUAGACUUUUCUUUGCCACACAUGAUUAAAAUUCAUGAGGUAGUGGUUUAGGAGAUACAUUAGAAGAAGGUUUCUGUGCAGAAAUGUUUAUACUGCAACAUAAUUAAAUAAAACAACAAGUCUUUAAAGUUAACUGUUGUACUUCAUUUGGCCAUUUAACAAUAACUUUCAAAUAGAACUGUGGAUUGCUGAGAGCAGCCUGAUUUUAAAACAAAAGCAUGCCUUUGGAAACAGAUACCAAAUAGCUGUAAUUGCAGUCACAGAUUGGGUUGGGUUGGAGGGGACCUCGAAGACCAUCCAGUUCCAACCCCUACUAUGGGCAGAGACACCUCCCACUUCACUGGGUUGCACAAAACUGCCAGUGUUCAAAAUUGCUUCCCUUCUAGGGAAGGAGCUUCAAUAAGAAGAAUAAUUUUUUUCUUUAAUAAGCAAUUAUAAAUCUAUGGAAGUGUCAUUCUUAACCUGCCAUGUUUGUUAAAAAUGUACUAUGUCCUCUAUGAACUGCGGUGAUUUUCCCAAAUGUGAAAGUAUUUUCCCUAAAAUAAUGAAAAAUGUGGUAGAGUAAAAUAUAAUGAAUACAACAAAAUUAUGUGGAUCUUGCCUGUGUUCUUAGGAAAUGUAUUUACUCGUUUAACAUUGUGGCAGAUCAUGUGGUUAAUGAUGAAGAACCACGCAGAAAUGAGUCAUCAGCAGUUGAGUGCAACAUCACAACAUUUCACUUUACUUUAGAUGUGGUGAGGCUUCAUUAACCUUCUGAAUGGUCAUCUGCUUGAUGUGGCUGGUUCCUAAGUUUCACAAGUUUCCAGGACAAAAAAGUGAGUUGUCUAGUCUGAGGAAUAUCUAUGUUGAUAACUACAUAGCAGAACAGAAAGGAUUUUCUUUGCUACAAAAGCAUUAUCCUUAAAGCAAUGAGAGCUAUACAGCUUUGAAACUAACAAGAGAUGGGAGACUCAUCUUUCUGGUAUCAUCUCUCAUUUUCUGAGUGCCUGGGCAGUGUCUCACCUCUGUAUCCUAUUGCAUGUGGCAACAGUGAGCCCUCCUAGCUCAGGGCAGAGAUGGACGCUUAUCAGGUCUCUGAUUAUGUGCUCCCCUUGGAAGUGCUAUUUCCUGCCUCUUUUUCACGGGAAGAAUCCCAGAAGAAUGAGAGUAAUUUAAAAUAGCUGCUCUUAAAAAUAGUAUUUCUGUAUCCAAUAGCUUUUACUGAGCUGGGUAGUCACCUGGAAGGCAGUUUAGUCAGCUGCCUUCAGGAAUUUAUCACGAGUGUAUUUUAAUGUCAGUUUUUAUGUUGUAUAUUCCAAGGGCCUGUGGUAAAUAAAGCAAGUCUUGUUUUAGCGUGCAUAUUUUAGCUGAGCAAAACUUCAAACCAUCUAGCUGUCAAAUGUCAAAAAGCCUCCGUUCUGUACAUGUGAAAAGCUUGUAGGAGAAGGAGGAGGAGGAAUGAAAGUAACCAACUUGGUAAAUGAUUUUAAAAUGCUGCUAGGACAGAUGAACAUCUCACCCAGCCUGUCACAGUCCAGGGCAGAGACUGGCUUGGUGCUGCUGUUUGAAGCUGUGUGGUGGGUGGAUGGGAGAGAUGGGGAUACUGCUGUAGGCAACCUGCCACACUAGUGGAUCUUGCCUGCUAUUCCUUAUUUUCUUCUCUGUGAUCUCCUGACCAUUCCCAGGAGCAGUGAAUAUCCCAGGAGGUCUCCCACCUUCCCUUCAUCACCCCUUCCUUCCUUGGAGCUGCUGGGCUGAGGUUCAGCUGGCCCUUCAAAAUACAGGGAAAAUACAGAGCACCCCACAGAGUUCAGGAAAUACCGUAUAUAUGAUAGUCAAAGGACAAGUGCGAUUCUUCUGUAUGCCAGUCUGUGUUAGCAGCUCUCUGAAUUUUACAGCAGAAGGAGUUGCAUGAACAGUUCACAGUACAUAACAUACCCUUCACCACACACCAAAGCAAGCUGAUAUCUCCAUUAGCCCCAGAUAAGUGGUUCUUGGACAGUAGCUACUGUUUGUUCAACACUGAGAUUGAAAUUAGAUUAGUGUUAUUGCUCCUGAAAGUCUCUAAUGUUCUCAUAUUUGGUUUUUUUUUUUCCUUUCACUUUCUUCUUCAGUGUAGUCAAGUGAAGUUUUUACUUAUCAGAGUGAAGACGAAAGCCAAAAGAAAGUCAGGUAUGAGGUACAAUAGUUGCAAAGGCAUGUUGCUGUGAUGGAAUAGAAUGCUAAAAACUUUUGAAAGAAUUAAUAGUGCAUCUUCCUUGUAGGAGAAAUCUAUGCUUGGAAAUACCUUUUAUCUUCCCGCGGAGCUCCGUCUUAAUUAUUUCUGAAGAGUAAUAGUUUUAAAUUGAUCCAGGAGAACUUCUCUAAUGAUAUAAUCAAACUUGCAUCUGUACUCUGUGCUUCGUGGCUGAACUAAUUUAAAUGCUAAAUAGAAAUCAAAGAAGUGACCAUUAUGCAUACAAAGGAAUGAGUAGUUUUAAUCUUAUUUGUGUUGUGGGUUUUUGGAGCUAUUGAUUAAAAUGACCAACAGUCUAUAUUUGAUUCAGAGCAAAAUGCCAUCUUAUGACACACAUCACAAGUCAGAUUCUUGCUGUAAUUUCUAACCUCAAUUUUAAAUACUGUCAGCAUCAUCUAGAAUUAGAAAAAAGAGCAACUCAUCACCAUGCCAAUUGAACAAAAAAAUGCUGCAUGAUUUAAAUACCUAUAGCUGCAUCAUUUACCCAGUUUUAUGCUUUCAUUUUGCUAAGCAUGAGGUUGAUGAUUAAAUUGAUGCGUAAUUAUUAGCAACACAGAGACUGUUGUCACAUCGCAUGGUUUUCUGACCAGGUGCAGGCUUCUCAGAUUCAGUCGGAGCCUGUCUGUCAGUUUCCUGAACAAUCCAGCAAAAUAAGUGACUGAUUUCUUGUUAUCAUCACAGAAGCAGUUUUCAGCAGAGUGUCACAGUAAACCUCCUUUUCUGAAUAGUGUAAUGAACAUUCUGGUGUUUGCAAAAGCAUUUUUUUUUUAUAUAUAUACACAUGUAUAUAGUCAGAAUGUAAAAGCAUUAACAGUCUGAUCCUGGUAUCUGUCCCUCCAGCUCCUUAUCUGCAUCCUUUCAUUAAUAUCUGUCUAUUUUACUCAAAUGUCAAAGUCAAUCAAGCACUCUGUGGUCAUGCAAGCAGAACAGAAGCAUGGCCUGCUAAAUUAACCCAGUGUGAGGAGGACUUUCAAAGAUUAAAUUUCUUUGCUCUGCUCCUCCAAGAAUACACUUUCAAGUUUAGAUGGCUGGUUCAGUAAGUAUGCACCCACAUCUUGAGCUUAAGCAGGACAAUGCAGGCUGUAAACUGAAAGAGCAACCUUUUGCAUCAGCUAAAUCAGACUAAAUAGAUAUAUAGGGUAAAUAUCCAAUCUACAAAUAAAGAUAGUUCAGCAGGAAGAGAAACAUUUUGUUGGUAUGCUUUUAAAGUAUUAUUCUGCAAGAUAAAAAAUAAGCUGGAGAAAGCAACCGUAAACUGUGUUUUAUUCUUUCACUAUAUUGCAUUGUAAAUUUGUUAGUGGAAUCGACAUUUCUACCUCUCCUUGAAAAUAUUCAUCUGCUGUACCGGCAUUGGAGCUGGAUUGAUGUGGAUGCUUUCAAGUGCAUCCUAUUUCUCCGUGAAAUAGAAACAACUAACCAGAAACUCAUACACAACAAUUAUACCCUAACAAGCCUGUUUAUUCUUCGUCAUCAAAGAAUAUCGUCAUUUGUUCAAAAUAUUGUUAUUCUCUGUUAUUCACAAUUUUACAAAAACAACAGUAAAUUACCCUGAGUGUUUUAAAAAUAGGUCAUAAAAGCAGUCUGAUUUCACUUAAUGCAUAGAUACGACAGUAUCACAGUGCGGGCUGCUUUCUCCAUCAUUGGAGGGAAGCGCUGGCGGAGAUGACUAAGACCCUACACAAAAGAAAAGUCCUACGAGUGUUGGGGGAAAACAUGUUUGUACUGAAAAAGAUGGACUGAUAAGUAAAGGCAAAUUGAAAACAGAGAAGGAAAAAGUUAAAAAUUAUAUAUUUAGGAAAUGGAUUAAUCUUUUAUUAUCAGUGACAGAUUCUAACAGAGAUAAUUUUAAAAUCCACAUUGAUGGUUCAUCCUUAAUUUUUACUCAAAUAAGUGUCACGUUGCUAGUUUUGUGAUAUUGUGUUGGCAGAAUAAUCUUUUAACAAUCAGUACCAUUGGAAGUGAAUAUUCAAAUUUAAAUGAGGAUUCCUUUCCUGAUAACAAUAGGAAGCCUUUCCGGUAAGAGUGGAUUUGCAAAGCCAUAGCCAUUUGUGAGUCCCCACCUGCUUUGCAAGUCAUGGGAAUAGAACUUGCACCUGGAACUGGAGCUUAGGAAUAGGUUGUGUGUAGGAAUUGCCAUUUAAAAAGAAAUGGUUUUAGCACCUUGCUAAGGGGAAUAUAUGCUAGCAACAAUUUUUACUUCAACUCAUCAGCACCAAAAAGAUAAAAGGGUAUGGAUAAAAGGGAGACUUGGGGUGAAAUGUAAACCCCAGGCUACUGCCCAUUUAACGGGGCCAUCCCGUCUCUGAGAAACAGUUGAAUCUGGCCUUGGGCCAUAGUUCAUUCUUAUUAGAGCCAAUAAUUUCCAUCAUUAACACAGUGGCUUCUCCUGGCCUACAGUGAGAAGAUAGGCUCUGAAGAAACUUAAACAUGUAAAAAUCCCUGGCAGAUAUUGCCUUGGUCAUAGGUGGCUCAACAUGCCUCAACAAAAACGGUGAAAGGGAGAGAAGUAUCAUUUUAUUGGCAUAGCAACGCAAGUGGUCCAGUUUUCUUAAAUUUUUCCUGAAGUUCAGAGAUGGCAACCUCAAGGCUAAUUUUAGCUGAAGUCAACUUAUUUUCUCUUGGUCAGAUGAAAGUUCUGUGAAAUUCAAGAAGGCAGCGACUGCACCUUAAAAGGGUACCUCUUCUUCUACUUUCUCUGGGCAAGGAUUGGAGAAACCAGCCUUCAGUAAGCCCAGAUACUGUCACUCUACCUCCACAGAAGAUUUCUCAGUUGAAGUGAGAAGCUCAUGGUAUCACCACGUUCCUCUCUCCUAUUGACACUGGGCAGCUAGGUAGAAGGUGAAGACUUCUGGCUGAGAACACAUGGGAACCUGACUCUGCCCUAGCAGACAUUCUACCAGGAAACUGCUGUUACUGCUCAGCACAAAGAGCAGAAGUUCUAGUGCCUUUCUACGGAAGAAUCAGUUUGGAUGUCAAGAGAAAGCAGAUUUUCAGGCACAGAUCCUCACUUCUUGAGCCAUCAGGAUUGAAAAACAAGUCACUGGGGCCCUGGAAAGCACAGUUUUUCCUUUCCCACACACGAGCUGCUUUGUCUGGUGGUUGGAGGGAAGCAGCACCUGUGCUUCCACACUCUCCAGGAAGGACGACCUGGCUGUGCUGUCAGACAAGCUCCAGAGAUCUUGCUUGGACUGAAGGGUUUGGCACUCCAGCCAUGUGAGUGCCAUUAAAUAAGCAGGUAGGGAAGAGGUAAGACUGGUGCAGAAGGCUCCCAGUGAAACACACUGAUUAGAGUGAAACUCCAGUGUUUGUUCCCUUUUCUUGUGCUGAGGCUUUGGCCAUACGUGCAUUUGUGUGGACGUUUCUGAAACACUUCAUCUCUUUUCUUUAUUUGAGCUGAACUUAAAGGCACACUGGGCUACCAUCCAGCAGACAGCUCAUGAACACUCAUUGGAAAUAUGUUCUGGUAUUGUUAUAUGCAAACACAUCUGCCCUGCAGAUACUGUUGAGCAAAAGGAGGAGUUUGCAGGCUGCAAGUUUCAACCUUGGAGCCCAAUUGUUGUCAUUAAGAAUUUGUUUUGUCCAGGGAAGAGAGCAUUCAGGGAACUUGCGGUGCCUGUAUAGCCUUCCACUCUAUGGGCCUCCCUAAGAGAACAUGGAGACUGGUUGGGCCAGGGCUGGGAGCAAUGUAAAAAACCUGAACCCACCGUCCCUCCUGUUAAGCCCAUCAGGAAGCACUGAGGGUACUUUAGAGGUGACACUCAGCAUCUAAAGGUGUGAGAGCAAGUAGGUUCCUGCAGCACCAAGACCACAGCCCUGCCUUCACCCGUCCUGCAGGUAGAUGGCAGGAUGCAGUCACUCAUGCACCACAGGUCGUAUUGAAACGCCACAGAACUUUGUUGGAUAAACAUUACUAUUAUGUAAACAGCUCUCCGUCCUGAGAGAGGAGAUGUUUUGCAAGCAUAUCUGUUUUCUGAGCUAUUUCUUAACUAUGUAGGUGUCUGAGCUAUGAGGAGGAAAAUAAAUCAGAGAAUUUGGGCAGAUGCACAUGCACCUCUAUAACUGGCGGUGGUUUUAAGAUGUUAAUGAAGUGAUGCUUGUUUUUUAUUCAGUGAAGACCUGUUUUUUUGUGUUUUUGCUAUAUAAAACAAAACACAACAUGGGAGAAAAUGUAUUCAAUUACUCCUCACUCUGCCUUAAUAUGAAAUUGCUUAGCGUUGUCACUAAUAAACCUAGAAAGGAAGAAGGAAAGUACAGAUUGCUCUGUACAAGAUACAAUUUUUUGUGUGUGUGCAUUAUAUUAAUGAUCUCUGCCCAAUUUUGUAAUAACAAGGCAAAUAAGAAAAAAGCCUGAGUUGAAAACCCUGGCUUAUAGUCAAUGAUUACAGAUGGGUAAUGCUUCAUUGUAGGGAUUUUUGCAGUCAUUAUGGAUGUAAGAGUCUUGUUUAAAUAUUUGAAUAUAGUUUCCCAGAAUCAGUUAGGUACCUCACUGUAAUGACUCUGCUGAUGGAGCUGUCUGUGCACUCGCUGCCCUGUUUUUUGAGAAUAUGGACUCUGAAAUCUAUUGUAUUAGCUUGUCAUCUGCCUUGGUGCAGCACUGCUUUCAGCCAUGGGUGGAUAAUGAGAUCCCAGGAUGGCAUCAAUAUGGGAGAGCUCUGUAGAGCUAGAGAAGCAGAAGGUGUUGGAUACCUCCCCUCCAAAAAAGACACUUUCUGAACCAAACCAGACUCUGAAAGCACACAGAGGAUGAGGCUAACCAGAGGCGUCCUCCUGCCCACAAGCAUUUCACACUAUGCCACAUGACUUUUUCCAGCUUCAAUCACCUACUUCUUCCACGGAGAGACUGCAGCUUUAUGCACUGCUCCUUAGCCUUCCAUUUAGCAGGACACCUGAUGUUUGUGACUUACUCAAGGUGACAUCCUUCCUCAAAUGUGAGGAAGAAGGUUUCACUAACCCGCACUGAACUGAGACUGGGAGAUUUCUGUUCUUCACAAAGAGAAAAAAAGAAAUUCCCUUACUUGUUUUGCAUUCAUAUUUUCUAUGACUUAACGCAGAGAGUUUUAUAGAUGCUUUUAGUGUUGAAAAGGAUUAAUUAAAAAAAUCUCCAAAGUUUGAAUAGAAAAUAAUUGUGACUGAGGACUAAGUAUAAUCUGAGAACCCAAUAAACUAAACCACUUCAAUCCCUGGGCACUCAGAGCAUUACAGACCUGUCCACACUAUGAAGGAGCUGAACCAUACCUUUGAAUUUCUAGGUAGUGCUGUGGAAAUUGAUCACCACCUUAAAUAUCAUAGCCUUUCUUGUCCCAGCCUUCAGCAUUUAGGAGAUAGUACUAUUAGUCAAAAGAUAAUUAUUCAUUAAUUGAUUUUGUACAAUGCUUAGCUGGGAGGUAAUUGAUAUACUUGAUUAGAGUAGAAAAAAAAUGCAGUUUCUAUCUACCAAAUGCAGAAAUACUAAAGAAAAAAACUAAUUUCUUGAUGUUUUUCAUUAAGGAUAAAGAAAGAAAAGAUGCCAAGAUCAAUCCUAAGAGUUCUAAGGAAUAAACCUGCGCACCAAAGGGGAUCACAGUACCUCACACACCAGCAAAAAUUUUAUGAUGUGUUAAAGAAUGUAUGUAUAAGCCUGCACUCAGGUGAUGUGCAAGCCUAGGCAUCCAGCAGAUUUAACAUGACUAAAAUUGUCUUUGAAUUUAUAUAAUUGAUAAAGACUAUUUGAUUUUGUCCUGAGCUCUUAUUGUAUGUUUACAUCUUUCUGUAUUUCUGCUUGUAUCUAAGCGUUUGCAAAACCAAGCUUCCCAGAUCAAAGCUGGAAAAAGUCAUGUGCAGUGCUUCUGGGUGUUACAUGCUUCUGGGCUGGAAGAUGCCUCUGAUCAUCUUCUGUAUGUAUCUGGAGUGUGGUACUGAUCAGGAAAUGUCCUUUUUUGGGGGUAUCCAUCACCUACUUGAAUCACAUUCCUCCUGCUGCACGCCAGCUCAGUGAUUAUUUUGCUCACAGCAGCCAUCCCAAUGAGCACUGCUGUGGCAAAGGGAGGGGAGGUUUUCCCUGUGGUGGGGCUGUAAAAAAAAUCAUCAACCAAAGCCAAAAGAAAGAAUUUACAAGUGUUACUGCAUUGGGCCCGUGCCCCGAAGCCUUUAGCACAAAAGUCAAAAAACAUCUGCAUAUUGACUGAAAAGGCCCAUACCUGCAAUGUACCUGGAAGUGGCAAAAAUUUCCAGAUGUUCCCCAUAAAACUCUUCAGUUGGUGGGUUCUAAUCUGUGUGACUUCCUGCAUGACAAAACCAAAAGGAGAUAUGCAUGUGAGAAGUACGCAGGCAAUUUGCCGUCUGGGUUGAAUUCAUCUUUUGUGCAGUUCAGCAACAUUUCUCUGUUGGAUUUGGACUCUCAGCUUUUACAGAAAAAUCUGGAUUGAGUUGAACUUGCAUGAACCAAGCCAAAUCUGUAAUUACAAGGUCUGGCAAGGAAUGUGUCUCUUUCCUGCUUAUUUUGUAUUUGCCAUUGUUAACAGAAGUGAUUGCCGCUGCUAUUCUCACGCCAGUCUUGAAUCUAAGGAGAAUUUAGAGAGAUGAGGAACUUCAUCUGAAAGACUGAAAACAUAGGGCUCAAAUUAAAACUCUUUGCAAGCAAAGACAUGGUUUUUAACUAUAGCAAUGCAGGAAACAGUAAGUGGCAGAUAUUUUCCUCCAUGAAAUGUGACAGGUUGGAAUAUCACCUAUCGUUUUGUGAGAGAAAUUGGUACAUUUAGAUUAAAUCUGGAAUUAUAUGCCACACAACACAGACUUAGAUCUGACUUCUCCUUUUAUUACUGUUUCUAUCAAGAAUUACUCCUCUUACUGAUUUUUGUUUCUCCUCCCUUGACUCUUGUAUCCAUACCCUUUCUACAAACAUCACUCUAUAUUUUUAAGUGCACAUCUCUUUUGAAAAUAGAUAUAAGAAGUGCUUCAGUAAGUUAUGGAAGGUUUUUUUGUUUUUUCCUCUUUGCUUAUCUACUGCAUAUUAUUCUCACUCUGCUAACAGUGUUCCCCCUUCCUCCUAUAUCUGUGCUACAGGAGUGGUAGCAGUAAGGGCAGAGGAAAGAAGGAGUAGCACCCACAGUUCAUUGUUCUUAUAAGGGAAUAUGUGAGGGUGAGUGCCCCAUUGUAGCAUCACUUUCCAAGAAUGAGUAAAAACAUCUUGAGGCCUUUGGAUCCCUUAAAAACAGAAAUCACUGAACCUCUCUCUGCAGCUGUAUUCCUUUCCCCAGUGUGCUCCACCAGCUUGUUGGGAUUACAGAUCACUGGUCUCCAGCAGCUCAUAGCUUUCAUAGCCCACCACAGUACACUAACAGGAGCUAUCUGCUUCUCUUCCCUUCUGUUAGAUGUAAAACCUUCUGCUGACGUUGCACUGGGCACUCCAGCCCAGCAAGCCUUAGCAUUAAUGUUACUGAGCCUGGUGGCAAUGCUUGCCCCUCUGAUUUCCUUUUUUAGGUUCUCUGCAGACUCACAGAGACAUUCUGAUGCCAAUUAUACCCCAUAAAUAAGUAGUAAGGACUGAAAUAAGUCCUACAGUUGCACGUUCUGACCUUUCUUGUAUCACAGCUUGCAGGGCUAUCCAAAGUGGAUUUGGUUUUGAUCUACAGUACUGUUUUAGAACAAUGUUCAGUCUUUGUUCAAAAAUCACCAUUGCUAAAAAUUGUGCUGAAAGGACUGUUUUCUAGCAAAAACAGAUUUUACAUCUCAUUUCUAUUGUAACUGUCUUCAGCCUUAGAUUUCACUUACUUGCUUUUCAUUACCUUCUGAAUCAAGUAACAGGUUAUCAAAGUUAUAUUCCCUUGCAGGUACUUACAAAAUCAUCAAAUUACCUUUUAACCUUUAUUCCAACUAAAUAGAUUUUCUGCAGUGUUAUUAACAAAUGCUUCCUCUAGUUCUUUAAUCUUUCUCAGCUCUGCCUCAGUCCCUCUGUUUAUCAGUGUCCUUUCCAGAUCAUGAUAUUCCAGACUUGGCUACAUCAAUGUUCAGUGCAAAAUUUGGACCAACUCUUCAUCCUUUUAGGGGAUCUGAGGUUCCUUUUUUGGCCAUGGAACUGAACUGAGAGUUCCCAUGUCUUCCUAGGAGCAAUCUUCAUGCUUGGAUGAGAUCUCGUAUUUUUAAGGGACUCUGUUUCUCCAAACUGACUGCACUGAGAUGCCCCCCUUCCUUCAUUUCUAGACAUAGGACUACUAGCUGGUCUCAGUACCAUAUUUUUAGUUCUGCUCACCUUGCCAUGAGUGUUUGCUUUUAAGUUUUGAGGUUGGAAUGAGAUCUUUAAGGUUCCUUCCAACCUAGACCAUUCUGUGAUUCUGUGUUUCCUGUUUUAUGUGCCUUCCUUCUGGCCUAUGUAUAUGUAGGAGAAAGUAUGUGUGCAUUUUUUUGAUGUGCGAUGACAUACAUCAGCUGUGAUUCAUCAUAAAGCACCAUAAAUCCCUCUGCAUUGGUCAUCUAUCAUCUCAGCUACAUAAUUCUCACCAAGACGUCGUGCUAUUUACAUUUCUCAUCAAUUACAACAUUUUGUUUCCUUUCACAUCUCAGGCAAAUGUUAACUGACUGUAGGAUGAAGAGAGGAUCCCCACUGAACCUCACUAAGACCACAUAUCUUUAGAGUGAUGUUCUGGAGUGUAGUUGCUUGCCAUUUUAAAUCCAUUUAAUGUUUUCAAUGUUGAUUCAUAACAUUCUUAAUUAAUGGUUUUUUUUGCAUUGUAUGGUACUGACUGCAUUACAAGUCUUGUAAAAGCCCAAAUAUAGCAAACCUGCUACCUUUAUCAGCCAAUUUGUAAUCUCAUCAAAGAAGGAUAUCAAGUGACUUUGACAGGAUCGAUUUGCCAAAAACCCUGUUGAGUGACAACAAUUACGCUGCCUUCCUUUUAUUCCCUAUUAAUUGAGUCCCAUAUCAGCCAUUCCUUUAUUUUGCCUGGGACUGAUGUUAGUCAGUCUGACAAAACUUGUAAUUACCUGAGAUGUAUCAUUUAUUCUCUAAUUUACUUUUUUUAGAAUACUAGCAUCGCAUUACUUUCACUCAUCUUCUAGAACUUCUUUCGUAUUAAAAAAGUUAUUGAGAAGUCAACACCAGUGGAGGAGUUUUCAUGUAACUCCUUUUAAACUCUCGUAUGCUAGUUUUUGGGACUACUGGUGAUAAAUAUGCCAAAAUCAAUAGCUCUUUUUUGACAUCCUUCUGAUGCACUGUUGGAGUGAAAAUUGUUCCAUGAUUUUCUUGCAUCACCUGAUCUUCGGCAGUUAUUUACUGAAGUUAUAUACAGCAGUUAUUUAUUGAACACCUUUUGCUUUUCUGGAUUAUUUUUGGCAAUUUAAUAAUUUUCAGUUCCAGUGUUAGAAUUCCUCUUGCUCCCAUGAAGCUCAGAGUGUCUUUCUGACUAUUGUUAGCCCAAUUUAGCAUAAAUUUUCAUCCUUUUUCAUCACCAGAUUUCUUGUGUUAAAACUCCUUACUUAUAGUAUACAUUCAAAUGUGCAUAAUCACUUGUUUUCUAUCUAUGGCUUUCUCUUUUCUUCUGUGUGAUUGUUCUUUUCUUUCUAAAUUUUAAUUGUGACUUUUACUUUUUGUAAUAAGUAAAAAUUGAUUUUUAGCUGGUGUGAUCUUGAACAUCUCCAAGUGAUCAUUCUCAUUUUGUCCACCGAUCUUUUUAUACCCAGUGAUUUGGACUCAGGAGGCCUAACAAUUUGCUUAAAAAGUAAUCCCAAUGAAUAAGUGAAACAAUAAGGGAAAUAAAAGCCAAAACUUCUAUCAAUGGUUUCUGAGUGCUGGCUGUCGUAGAUCCUCUUGAUAAGAGUUAGCACACCUUUAUCAGCAGUGCUGAAGCCAAUUGAGAGGAAUUCUGGGAUCACUGACAGGGACAACUCCUACACUAGCCCUGCCAGAAUGGAAACCAGGUCACCCAGAAACCUGAAAUUGCAGGGGAAUGGCAGAACAACAUUCUGAUCUAGAAGGAUGAGGUGGCUCCUCACUGGAGAUGCUCUUAGCCUAGAUUUAGUCUGCUCAGUGCUCAUGCUUGCAGAGACAUGCAGCACAGUCUGAGCCUGGUGACUAAGCUGAUCUCAGGAUUAACUUUAAAUUAGCAGACCAAAAUAAAAGCAAAAGUCUUUGUGCCUCAGUGCCACGUAAACGGGAACUGAGGUGGCAAAUGGGGUAAGGUGGGAUAAGUCAUCAUGUGAGAUCUAGAGUGUGAUUCUUUAGCAGUGUGGCUGAAAGUGUUCAAAGUCCCUUGAUAGCUCCAUUUUGAUAGUAGCAGACUUUUUAGGGCCACUCAUGCUCCUCUACAGGUUGGAGCAACUGCAGUUUGGUUGUUGAAGUGAUUAAACUUUUCCUGAGUCCAGAAAAUUUUGCAUAGCGGGAAUAUGCUGAAAAUAUUCAUGUAGAUAUUUAAUAUGAUGACCAAAUUUCUAGAUCAUCCCUAAAAGCUGCACAGGACUAAAAAGCCUCCCCAGUCAGAUGGUGAUGCUACAUGGUAAUUGAGAACACUCUUUUUGUAUGGAUCCUCUUCAGUAAUUUACUGGGCUUGGCUAACUUUUAUUUGAACUUCCUACAAGGGCAGGGACCAAAUCUGAUUUUUGUAAAAUACAUUGAACUGGACAGUCAGGCUCCAAGAGACCCCCUUUUGUGAAUUUCUUGUACCACACUUCUAGUAUCCUUCUCAUUACUGAAUGUUAAGAUCCUCUGACAGCAGAAGCAUGCUGAAAGCACUGGUUUCAAACACAGUAAACAGUAGGAUUUAGGUUGCACCUGAAAAUAUAUCUGAAACUGUUUUUGAAACAUAGCUGAUAAGAGUCCUGUCCCUGAUAUGAGGUGAUCAGGUAGCCACACUGUAAUUAAAAAGGCUAUCAUGUUCUGUGACAUCGUAUUUAGAACUAUUUCCAUUAAUAAUUACAUAGCCUGAGCGGCAGAUGAAUUAGUACAUCUUUUACAGGAGCUAAUGCAGAUAAAACCUCAAGAUAAGCAAAGGUUUUCCUGGGUAUUUCCAUUUAUCUGUUUGGAAUUGGGGUGAUUUUGUUUCAUUUCUGUCCAUGUUUUGCUGUCACCUGUACUUAUAUAUAUAUAUAUAUAUGAGAAUAUAAAUUCAAUAAUAUUAUCAUCAUGACAAUGCAAAAGUAAUGACGUAUUAAUUUUGAGCUGUAAGGCCAGUAUAUUAAAAGCAGAUGUGCUAAUUCAUCAUGGCAGUAGAUCUGUCACAAUGGAAAAGCACCUCUGAGACUAAGGAGGUUACAAUAGGGACCAGUUUGAUCUAACACCUUUAAAUAAUAGAUCUUUGGAUUGUGAUUUUCUUCUACUUGGCAAAAAAAAAAGAAAAAAAUCUGGCAACUUCUGAAGAACGGGAAACCACUACUAUAUUUUGGACAAUUAAAAGCAGAAGAAAACUACAGAAGUUAUCCAAGCAAAUACCAGAAUAUCUCUGUCAGUGUUAGCGAUCAUGUCAGUUCUUAUAACCGCAGGAGUUUUGACUGCUAUGAAACAAAUAAAUUUUGGGGUAUUACACUGCACAGCUGAGAUUUUGCUUCCUGGAAACAAUGUUUUAUUUGUUCCUUUUGAACAUACUGUGGUGUGCAAAUGAUCACAGGUUUGGCAAGUCCUUUAUGGGGCAUUGUAUUUAUAAGGCCAGAAACAGAUGUACAGAUAAUUUCAGAGACACGCAUACUUUCUAUGGUUGCAAAUACUGUAGGGAUGGGUACCUUAAAAAGAAAAAUCAGGUCUUUGAGUAUCCUGGUUGUCUUUCUUUCAAAGAAUGGACACGCUGCAUAGCAAAUCCGUGUUUUGCCAGCUGCGGUUUGCAGAGCAAAGGCCAAAAGCUGCACUAACAUACACCUCCUUGAAACUCUUGAGAAUUCAAGCAAGAUUUCCCACAGCCUGGUGUCUUCCUGCAAGCCGUCCCUCAGACAUCGGCAGAGCCCUGCCCUUGCACAUGUGGCAUGGCUGGCUGCAUGCCACAUUUGGCUUCCAGCUUGCAGGCGAUCCUUCCAGCCUGCCCACGCUGAUACUUCCCAGACCUUGGCUCCUAUUCAAGUGCUAUCGCUCCAGCAAAUCCUUUUGUAUUUUCGUGCUAUGAGUGGAGGUUGGAAUAAUGCAAAGAGAGAACCAAAAGUGCUUAAGUGUGUUCCUUUUCUCAAGGGAGAGUGUACAAAAAAGGCAUUUCCGCAAUAUCUUAACCUCAGUUAUAGAUUACAAAGUGGAUAACUCCGUAUUUACCCAUGCAGUCUCUCAGCAGAUGGCAAUUAAAGGGUGAAAUUACCAACAGCACAAUGGCAGGUUGAGGGCCACCGUAUCAGCUCUCGUCCAAUUGGUUCUACUUGCAUAAAGAAUAUCACUGCUAAUUUUUGUAAAAUAAAGUAUGAUGUUGGUAAAUAACCACAUAUUGUCAAACUACAAGCAAAGGAAAAAAGCAUACAUGUGUGCUUACAUCAGGCAGAAUCCAUUUUCAGUCAUGCUUUUUGAAGAUGUGUUUUGAUGGACCUUCUGGGACUGUAGUGCCUGACACAAAUGUGUGUGAGUGGAUUAGAAGUAAACAAUAAGAAUUAAAAUAAGAAAUAAUUGAUUCUAAUACUACGAGAACUUUUUAGAAAACAUAUGUUUCUAAGAUAGAAUUUGUUACUCAUAUUCUUGUGCUUUUCAUAUCCAAAAUAAACCUGUGGUUACCAUUGCAGUUGCCAUGCUCUUACACUCCACACUGUACCAGUUAGGAAGAAAAAAAAACACAAAACCACAGAAUAAUAGAUAAGCAAUCUCUUUCCUGAUGUCAGAUUUACUGAAUUAAUGGUUGAACAUGGAAUUUAUCUGAUAGAGCUCAUCCACUAGACGUGAAUUAAAAUCUGUUACUAAGAUACAGAUAAACUGUUCAAGUCCAGAGCACCCCUAAGACUAUUUGGACACCUUUUUAGGAGGGUGUCAAGGCAUUUCCAUGUGUCCCUGCUCUGUGAGACCAUCCCAUUUUCAUGAUGCUGUCCUAAAUAUAUGACCCGUUCCUAAACCCUAUGCCUUUUCGAAUGUGGAUAUCAUGAUGUCAGUGAAGAAUGAUCUCUAACGCAGACAGCUGUGGUGGUCCUCUGUGGAAUCUAAGCCCUUAUGAUGGCUGAGGAUUCCCUGCCACCAGUGUGUGUUUUGUUAUUGGUUUCUUUGACUGUGCUUAGCUGGGUAGCCUACGAUCUCUGUGUUUUAAGAGGACAGGGAGAGAGGGGCAUCUCCCAACGGAGUCUUAGUUGUGGAGAUACUUACCUUAGGUGAAAUACUCUGCAGCCACUUGCCUUUUUCUUGUUUUGACCACAGAGUGAGUCUGGGCCACUUAAAUCAGGAGCCUACUUUUUAGAUAGUCAAAGCUAGUAAAUCCCAUCGUGUAUUACCAUUGAGCUCAUCACUAUACCACCCCAUCUCCAUGUUUAGAUCCCCUUUUAAAAGUGCUGUAGCUUUAGUGCCAGAGAUUUCCUGCGCUGCAUGCCUUGGUGAGUGAUAAAGCAUCCAGCAUACAAAAUUCUGAAGCCAUCCGGGAUAAAGUUUACUCUCAGCCGUGUCACUGUUUCAGGACAGGAAGCAAAAGUGACUCUGACUGUGCUUGGGCUGUUAAUCUGCUGGGAGAUUUAUUUAUUUUUAUUUUUAUUUUUGGUCUGUAUAAUAUCCACAUUUAAGCAUAAAGAAGUUUUUCAGCUCCAGUGCCUCGAAUGUAGAUGAAUUCAUUGAUGUGCACGUAUCAGUAAGUGGUAAUACUCUAUAAAAGAACACACAUAGGAGUGUUUUUCAGAAGCCUUUGCAGAUGUCUUUUGUAUAUCUGCCUCUCUGAUUUAUUCCCUGCAGGUAAGUUGUGUGACCGUUCUCUGUAUGAGCGUGAUUGGAUUUCUUCAGUCCUUGGCACAAUCCCAUCAACCUCUGCUAUCUCUUGUGUUUCAGGCAAGUUUUUGCCAUUUGCCUUUUCAGGCAGAGUCAUCUCAGCACAAUCUCACAAUGCAGUGUGUUUGGGCUUCUCUCACUUUUUCUCCAAUUUCCCUCCUUAACAGGAUUGAAGUCAAGAUGUACUCUGAGGCAGAGAACGGUUAUUUCUAGUAAUUCUGAUUGUCUUUAAGUCAUGACACCUUUGCCAACUUCUUCAUCUUACAUGAAUGAAAAAUCACUUUCUUUCAGUGAGGAUAAAUUUCUGUUUCUGAUAUAAACACUGUUUUGAUUCAUUUGCUUUAUACCACUACCUUCUCGUAAGCUGUUCCUUCCUGACUUUGGUCUCAGCAGUAGACGUGUUCCCAGAGGUUGCAUUCUGAUCUCCAUCCCAAUAAUCUCUCUUUGUAGUUCUUUUGUCCUGAGGGAGUACGAAAGAAAAGAAGGUGCAACAAAACAAAUGUCAUUAUAGUUGCAAGUACUGCUUACAGUUCUGCUGCUUAUUUGAGUAUCAUUGCAUUCAUGUCAAAACAGAGCUUUUUACCAUAUGUCCCUGGGACAAUUGCUGAUGGCCCUCUGACCUUGUUGUGCCAUUUCAGAAGUCUCUCUGCCAGUGUUUUCAGAAAAAAAAUAUAACACCCAACAGCUUUCAUUUUAAGAUUCCACUGAAACCAGGUUUUAUUUUUCUGAUUUCUAGUCAUAUGCUGCAAUGACUGUGAGUCAAUUUUUUGCAGGGCCUUCAACCUGAACAACGUAGACUUAAAUAACAAUUUAUUCCAUCUUAGUUCUGCAGCUUACAGUCCAGUGGUUGUAUGGGAGCUGUUCAUGCACCGCCAGAAGUGGUCCAUGCCAAGGAGGGCUGCUAAAUUGCGAAGUUGUAGAAUGGCUUGGGUUGAAAGAAACCUUAAAGAUCAUCUAGUUUCAAUCCCCUGCUAUGGGCAGGGCUGCUGCCCACCAAAUCAGGCUGCCCAUGGCCUUGAACCUGGCCUUGAAUGCCUUGAGAGAUGGGGCACUCACAGCUUCUUUUGGGCAGCCUGUGCCAGAACCACACCACUCUCUCAGUGAAGAAUUUCCCCCUGAUGUCUAGCCUGAAUUUCUCCUCUUAGCUAAAAGCCAUUCCCCCUUCUCCUGUCACUCUCUACCCAUAUAAAAAGUUUAUUUCCCUCCUG
This is a non-coding RNA of Meleagris gallopavo (turkey), 18144 nucleotides long. The record is from RefSeq and is a predicted model, not a curated record. NCBI's taxonomy places the organism in Eukaryota, Metazoa, Chordata, Aves, Galliformes, Phasianidae.